NNNNNNNNNNNNNNNNNNNNNNNNNNNNNNNNNNNNNNNNNNNNNNNNNNNNNNNNNNNNNNNNNNNNNNNUCCCUGGGAGUGGGUCCCCCUUUGGGAUCUGGCUCUGGCACGAAAGGGGUCCUGUGUCCCAGAGGCUGGGGUGUCCCGCAGCUCCUGUGGGGCUCUCAAGAGCCUGCUGGAAAUGCCCAUGUUGGAAAUGGAUCCUUCACCUUGUAACAACCCCAAGGCAUCUACUUGUUUGGGAGAACCUCUGCUCCUUCCCUGUGGAUCCAUUUAUGCUUCCAAGGUGGCAGAGCAUGUUUUGGGCUAAGAGAUGUUGUCCUCAGAUGGCCACAGCCCCUGUCAAUGCGGGUCAAACCUAUGCACCCAAAAGACAGCAUGUUUGGAGGAGCACCUUGGGAACAGGUGGGGGUGCCAUGGCCACCCCACAAAUCCAUGCUGACACCAAGCAUUUUUCUCUGAGCUGUGGGGGGCAGUGCUGGGGGCAGUCCAGCAGGGCCAUCUCCCACAGCCCCCUCCCGGCCCCACACCUCCACUGCCCAGCACCGGCAGGCCCAGAACUGCUCUGCCACUGGCUGCCCCGUGCCCCCGGGGCUCCUCAGCCCUGCAGAGUGAGGCACCGGGGUCCAGCCUGGCCCUGCAGAGAGCAGCCCCUGCCUGGCUGUGGCCCAGCCCUGCCGGGCGCAGCGCGAGGGCUGCCGAGCCCCGGGGCUGUCGUGGGCAGGGGGCUGGGGCCCAGGGGCAACAGGGCCCUGCCCUGCCCUGCACUGGGGGCAGCGGGACGCUGCCUGCGGGCUCUGGCACCCCAGCCAUGUCCAGGGCCCCUGUGCCGGCGCCAGGGCCAGCACCAGCACAGGCCCUGCAGCUGCUCCCCCACGCUCCCCACAGCCCCCGGGUGCAGGGCAGCCAGGAACCCCAUGGGGCCCUUGCAGCAGAGCCCAGCCCCAGCAGGGCAGCAGCCGGGCCCCAGGGCCCCACACUGCCCGCCCACAUGGGGCCACGCUGCCCCCAGGCCCCACGAUGCCUCGCACUGCCCCACACUGCCGCCCACAACAUGGUGCCCCAUUGUGAGAGAGGGGGAGGGGGCUGCCUGCGGGGUCACACAGGGCUGUAGCGUUGCCAUGGCAUCACCCCCAGUGCUGCCCUCCUAUUGGCUGGCCAGGGGAAGAGGGCGGGGUCAGGGUUUGACUAGUGGCUCUGUCAGCCAAUCGAGGUGCAGCAUGCGGAAAAACAGCUGUGAAAAUGGAGCCGGAGCCAAGCUGGAGGGAGGGAGYGGGCAUGAGUGGGGCUGGCGGGGCUGCGGGCGCCUUCAGCUGCCAGCAGGUGCCCUCCCGCCGGGGUGGGGGCAGCGGUGCUGGCCUCGGGGCUGCUUUCCUGCAGGAGCUGCAGCAGGGGCUGGUGGGGCCGUGAGCAGGGGCCAGAGCAACCGGGGACAGAGCGGGCAGCUGCCCUGCAACCAGACGUGCUGGGCUGCCCUGAGUAGCUGGGCUGGGGCGGCUGCUGGGGUUGGGGGGCAGGAAGCUUUGCCCCUACCAGUGGUCAGAGACCCAUUUGGAAGCGUUUCCCUGAGCUGCUGCUG
Long non-coding RNA from Apteryx haastii (Great spotted kiwi), 1581 nucleotides. The record is from Ensembl. Lineage: Eukaryota; Metazoa; Chordata; Aves; Apterygiformes; Apterygidae.